CAGGAACACCUUCCACUGGACCAGGUUGCUCAGAGCCCCAUCCAACCUGGGCUCGAACACUUCCAGGGAUGGAGAGUCCACACCUCUCUGGGCCAAUUAAUGUUGUUGGAGAGAAAUAGUUAUUUAUUUGCAUCCAUUCCUUUCCCUGCUUUUGCAAAACAGAAGUUGCUUUGAACUUAUGGAAAAACAUCUCAAUGUUUUGAUUCCACAUCAAGAAGCUGCAGUUCCGUACCCUGGAGUCAGGAGACAUGUAUAGGGGUUUUUAUCCCAUUGAAAUUAAAUGUUAAAUUUUUAAAAUAAAUUAUCCUCCAAGAUAUGUAUCUGAAUUCAGGGAAUCAGGGUGUCAUACAAUGUGCAUAAUCAACCCAGUACUCAAGUAGUAACUCAUGCUGUUGGUAUUGCCUCUGUUUAGUAACUCCUCAUUUCCUCAUGACCAAUGAAUGCCAAAGCUUUGCUUGAAUCUGUGUCACUGUCAUAGGGCUGUUGCAUGUGGUGUCCCUUAACUGAGCUGAGUUUGUGACAAGUGUCUGUGCUUUUGUCUUCUUCUGAGAAGAAAUGAGCAACUUUCUCAACUCGGGCCAUAUUGAAAGUAUUGUGAUCAUAUAUAUAUAAAAUUAUAUAAUUAUAAAAUUAUAUAAUUAUAUAUAAAUUUCUUUAUUCUGCAGCCCUUUUGGGGCACACAGCUGCUUCUCUCUGGGAUUCUGCCACUAAUGGCCCCUUCCAAAGUCACACUUGUGUUUGGCACUUGAUUGCUCUGGUUGAAAACUAUCUUGUAGGAUUUGUUGGCAGUUAAAUUGGGUCUUGGGCCGCUGUGUCUUCCCUGACAACUGAUGGAUGUUUUUCUUCCUUCCACCUUCUCUGCAGUGACACAGUUGCUGAGGGAAGGUUGGUAACGGUGCCAGUGCUCAGGGGGCUGUAUUUUUGGAAUGAGCGCUUCGGUGGUUACUGCAUUUAGCAGAGGGAGAUACUUCACGCCGGGAGAGAGGCACGAAUGCCAGGAGAAUGAGUCUGUGCCUCAGCCAGGCUGACUUACAGGGUCUCCUGUGAGCUGUCAGCAAGCUUUUUUCAGAAAACUUGAGUGUAAAUAAUCACCAACCCGUACAAACAGAACAGGUCCCCAGAGUCUGGUGAGACUGAUUUAUAGCUGUGUGUUGUGGUUCCAUGUCAGUGCUGUGUUUGUGAGUCCAGCCCUGCUAUUGUGCAAAGAUUUGCCAGUGAAGUGACUGAAGGCAGGAGGGGCCUCUGGCACUCCAUGAGCUUGAGAACAUCUUGUGCCUCCCUUGGCAGUCGUCAUUUCAGAAAUGUUCACUUUAUGCUGUUGUAUUCUUGCAUAUGUCGGAGUCGUAACUCACUUACUUAAAAUAGAGAACUUCAGGAGUCAUAAUUAAACUCUGUGAGCUCUUUCUAUCCUGUUUUAAGCAACCUUUCUCAUCACCAACUGGCAGAUGGAGUUUAAGUUGAUCCCUCUUCUCCUGGAAGCAACAAGUUAAAAUAUUUGUAAAUGCAAUUGAAUGUUUACAGCUACAGUACAGUAAUUAAAACCUUACUGACACAAAGUGGAGUCCUUGGCAAGAGUCCUUUUCAAUAACUGGAUGCAAACAAUUGUCACCUCGGGUUUGUUUCCUAAGGAUAUGUCUUGGGUGAUCUUUUUACCUGUACAGUGGAGCCUUCCCAUUUCUUUGUGUCUGGUGUGAGCAUCCUUGUUUGAUAAUCUGGAGACAAGUUGCCAGUCAGCCCAGGCCUUGCUCCAGAGUCACAGAGCACUCCAAGCAGACACAGACCCAGUCCCUGUGCACAUCCUGGAGGGGUGAGAUUGCUUCCCCUGUUGGGGUUUUGUGGUAGAAGCAUGAGAGAGAGAGAGGAGGGGAAAAAAUAAACCACUGAAGGAGAAUAACCUUGUUUGACUUUCAGUAGCUGGCUCAGGAACAGAACUUUCAGAAGGGGGGAGGAGUUGAGUGCAUUUAAACGAAAACCAAACAAGGCCUCUACGUGCCUUUGUGCUGGCUUCCCUGUGUCUGUCAAGGAACUGGUGAGACAUCCCCAGUGCCAUGAAGAUUCCUCAGACAAAUCCAGCAUUUAUCAAAUUUAAAAUUCUUCUGAUAGUUUAGUUUCUUCAUCUUUUACUUGCUUCAUGAGAGCCUAGGAAAAUGCUUAUUAUUUAAGAUUUCCUUCCAUGAUAAACAAUUGUAUGUAAGUGUUUAGAAUUUUGCUGCAUGUCAGCCUAAGGAGGAAAAGCUGCUGAAGAGGGAGCAGGUUUUGCUGCAGGUACUAAUCUUUGGAAAUGUAGCUCUUCUGGUUACUUUUGCCCUUGUGUGGAGAAGAAUCAAAACUAGGUGCAUAGCACACAUCGGGGUUUGUGGCACAGAAAUCAGAUACUGUGUUGUCUUUCAAGCUGGUUUAAAUAAAGCUGGCACUGAAAUCCCUGCGAGAAGCUUCCUGCUAAAAAUACAUCAACAUCCUUUCAUUUCAAAGUGCAUUCACUUCAGCAGUCGGUUUCGAUUUUGGAGAUUCCUGGCAGAUUCCUGAGGGAAAGGCACUAAUGGGUUUGGUGAUGUUGAUGGAACUCAGGAUUCCAGAGCUUUACUGCAGUUUUAUUUGUCUCUUGAUGGUGGUUUCUUGUUUGUCAAAGCACAGCCUUGUCUAAUGCGUUGAUGUUCCUACUCAAGCCGAGUGUCUGCAGUUUUCUAGAGAAGAAAACUCUCAUUUUGUUAUUGUAAAUAAUGUUUUGCUAUUGUAAAUUUUAUUGCUAAUUUUAUUUUUUUUAAAAAAUUGGAAACAUGGAUUUACCUUCCAUUACAGGGAGUCUGUUUGUCAGGUAGACCUUCUUACCAGUCUUUUUCCUGACAGUGAGGAGGUCACUCAUUGCUUUGAUUGUGCCUGUAAUCAUGGUUGUGCUCUUGCUUAAAUUACUCCUUUUCAGAGUCUCUGCUGUUUCAAAGGCCAGUGCAGUUACUUUGCCUGCAUGUAAUUCCACAUUAUGUUGUCAGCAUGGUUAUACAGCUUUGCAAAUUUUCAAGAGCUGAUGGGCAUUAGCUACAGUUCAUUAUCCAAAGUAAACAGCUCGUUAGUGUCUUCUUCUAUAGAAGACAAAAAUAGACCCAAAAGUGAGUGUAUCCCCUUACUCGGCCUUAGUUGUUAUUCUGUGUCGCUGCCUGUGUUCAUUCCCCCAGCACUCCUUUUUGAGGAUACACUUGUCCUCUGGGCUCCUUUCGUUUACACAGUCGUUAUCUGUAAAUGGCUCUCGCUGAUGGUGUAGCAGUGGUUUCCCAAUCCUCACCAGCUUCUGUGCAGCAGUAACAAGUGAGUGAUGUGCUGUUGGCAACAAUGUACUUCACUCUCCUUCAGUGGUUUCAGUCUUAAUUUAAUUUCCUCAGGCAGCACGUUAUUCCUGCAGGGAAGACUGCAGCACCAUUAGCUUCGGAUGUUUCUCCUCCAGCUCUAGAGACAGAUGGUGCCUUCCCUACCCUGCUGUGAACAGGAAGGAUUUCUCUGCUUUGUUGUUGAAGACACAUGGGCUCCUCUUGGAGCUGCUGGAAAUGCCCCUGUGGAGCUAUUUCCACAGCACCAGUGACUGUUCCCAUCUGACAGCACACCCUGUUGUCUUCCCGGGACACGUUUUGAGACGCGGCAGCAGCAGCCCAGCAUUUCCCUUUGCAGGGCCUGAUCUGUUUCCAGGUGGUUGCCAUGUGAGGGUACUGGACCCACUCUCCCGUCUCAGGGGCUCCAUCGGCUGCGAUCCCUGGUGGAAUGAACCGAUUCCCUGAGAGCCCCAUCUGUCCCUGGAGCUCUGAAACAGCAACACACGUUUACUGCAGUUUCAAGUUUCUCCUCUAGAGAGAACAGGGUCGUUUAAGCAUUUUCUGAUCCAGACAAGUGCAAACACCUCGAGAAGAUCAUGUACCAAGCCUACAGCGACUGGGAGUGACGCUCCCGAAAGCGAUCUCGGCAGGGCUCCCAUUUCCUGCUGCCAGCAUGGCUCGUUUGAGAUAUCGGUGCCACGGCAAGUGCUGGGUAAACACGAGGAUUGUUUCUGCUGGAUGAUCUCAAAGCCCUCCCAACUGUCUGCUGAAAAUACUUGUCCAUUGCAAGGAAAUGACUGUUUGUUUGUGUUAGGAGUCAGGAAUGGGAAAUGACGUGAACACUUAACUGUUUUUCCUGCUGUUUCUAGGAGGCAUAUUCGCUGUCUUGGGUCUUAUUUCCAAAGGCAUUCAGUGUUUUCUGAGCCCCUGUUAAGUAAGUGUUAGAGGUGUAUGCAUGCACAUAUAUAUAUAUAUAUGUAUAUAUAUAUAUAUACACAUAUAUAAAAUCAGGAAAUAUCUUAGAAAUCUUAUGUAUCCACCUGGUAAAUUUUUACUAGUGCCCAUCUGUGACCAUGAUGUAAUAUGAUUUGAUAUAUUCCCCCUCACAGUGCUGAACUCAAACUGUCUUCGGAUCUCGUUUUCCCAACACUGUUGAUAAAUCAGUGACUCCGCAGUGUGCUGCAACCUCCCUGAAGUAGAAAGAAGUCAGAAUUCACACUUGUCAUCCUUAUUUCGCCCAGGCACCAGUUUUAUCUGCUGAGUUACACUGUGCAUUUAAUCUUUUUUUAUCUAUGUAUUGCUCCUUGUUUGCCCUUGACAAAGUAGUCGUCCAAUGUUUUAGUCUAUUUGGUUGAUGAUUACUUUUUGUUACUGAUUUCUUUGGUCAAAGUGUUUUUCUAAACCAAUCGUUUCUCUUUAGAUUCCUUGAAAACAAACACUGGCAGUCUGGGUCCAUGUCCUGUGAUCUCCCUUCCCCAGGCACCUGCUGUCCUGCAGGACUGAGGCAGCUGCAAGUGUCAGACUUGGUUACAGUGACUCUGAGCUCCUGUAGGUGAAAUUGUCUCUUCUGUACUUCUCCAAGUGCCUGGCAGAACAUGAUCCUGGCCCAUGACUGGAAUGCCCAGAUAUGGGGGGAAAAAAGCGGGUUUGUGUUGGGCUUUUUUAAUCAGCUUGGGCACAAUUAAAUGUUUAGCCUGGCUUUUGGGUGCUAAGAUAAGGUACCACACGACAGUUUUAUCUCCCCAACUUCUGUUCAAUUCCCUCACCCUUCCCCAAGCAACAGCAGGUUAAACUACCUUGUGAAAAUCAGAAUUAACAGUGGAGGUACUGAAGAACAGUGAAGCUACAAGAAUACAGCCCUGCAGUGGCAGGAAAAUAGACCCAACCAUGAGCUCUGUUGGAGACAAGAGCUGUGCCUGCAGCAGGCUCUGGGACUUGACUACUCAGCCAGUUAAGAACAAUUUUGGGGUCUUUUUUAGUGAAUGUUAAUGAUUGACUUUAUCAUCUGAUACUGAUUGAUGACACAACCUCAGUUCUUCCGAGAAUCAAACUAAAGUAACAUUUUAUUGCCCUUUAAAGACUUACUGAUAUAAGUAAAAAUGUAGUGAAUAACAACUUGAA
This is a long non-coding RNA of Pipra filicauda (Wire-tailed manakin), 5420 nucleotides long. RefSeq lists it as uncharacterized. Lineage: Eukaryota; Metazoa; Chordata; Aves; Passeriformes; Pipridae. The record is from RefSeq and is a predicted model, not a curated record. The transcript is spliced from 3 exons.